GCUGGCGACCAUAGCAAGAGUGAACCACCUGAUCCCUUCCUGAACUCAGAAGUGAAACCUCUUAGCGCUGAUGGUAGUGUGGGGUCUCCCAUGUGAGAGUAAGUCAUCGCCAGCU
RNAcentral lists this ribosomal RNA (115 nucleotides) under Acinetobacter variabilis. The record is from RNAcentral. RNAcentral also lists the same sequence under 2 other names. Lineage: Bacteria; Pseudomonadati; Pseudomonadota; Gammaproteobacteria; Moraxellales; Moraxellaceae.